RNAcentral lists this ribosomal RNA (795 nucleotides) under uncultured Francisella sp. RNAcentral describes it as "bacterial SSU rRNA". It matches the Rfam family "Bacterial small subunit ribosomal RNA", at positions 320 to 1104 of the family's 1533-position model. The record is from RNAcentral. Lineage: Bacteria; Pseudomonadati; Pseudomonadota; Gammaproteobacteria; Thiotrichales; Francisellaceae.
UGAGACACGGCCCAAACUCCUACGGGAGGCAGCAGUGGGGAAUAUUGGACAAUGGGCGCAAGCCUGAUCCAGCAAUGCCAUGUGUGUGAAGAAGGCUCUAGGGUUGUAAAGCACUUUAGUUGGGGAGGAAAGCCUGUAGGUUAAUAGCUUGCAGGAAGGACGUUACCCAAAGAAUAAGGACCGGCUAACUCCGUGCCAGCAGCCGCGGUAAUACGGGGGGUCCGAGCGUUAAUCGGAAUUACUGGGCGUAAAGGGUCUGUAGGUGGUUUGUUAAGUCAGAUGUGAAAGCCCAGGGCUCAACCUUGGAACUGCAUUUGAUACUGGCAAACUAGAGUAUAGUAGAGGAAUGGGGAAUUUCUGGUGUAGCGGUGAAAUGCGUAGAGAUCAGAAGGAACACCAAUGGCGAAGGCAACAUUCUGGACUAAUACUGACACUGAGGGACGAAAGCGUGGGGAACAAACAGGAUUAGAUACCCUGGUAGUCCACGCUGUAAACGAUGAGUACUAGCUGUUGGAUUCGGUGUAAAGGAUCUAGUGGCGUAGCUAACGCGUUAAGUACUCCGCCUGGGGACUACGGCCGCAAGGCUAAAACUCAAAGGAAUUGACGGGGACCCGCACAAGCGGUGGAGCAUGUGGUUUAAUUCGAUGCAACGCGAAGAACCUUACCUGGUCUUGACAUCCUGCGAACUUUCUAGAGAUAGAUUGGUGCCUUCGGGAACGCAGUGACAGGUGCUGCACGGCUGUCGUCAGCUCGUGUUGUGAAAUGUUGGGUUAAGUCCCGCAACGAGCGCAACCC